This 252-nucleotide ribosomal RNA is filed under the name uncultured bacterium. RNAcentral describes it as "partial 16S ribosomal RNA". It matches the Rfam family "Bacterial small subunit ribosomal RNA", at positions 524 to 776 of the family's 1533-position model. The record is from RNAcentral.
UACAUAGGGGGCAAGCGUUAUCCGGAAUUAUUGGGCGUAAAGGGUGCGUAGGCGGUCUGUUAAGUCUAAGGUGUAAGUUCAAGGCUCAACCUUGUGAUGCUUUAGAAACUGGUGGACUAGAGAUAGAUAGAGGCAAGUGGAAUUCCAUGUGUAGCGGUAAAAUGCGUAAAUAUAUGGAGGAACACCAGUGGCGAAGGCGGCUUGCUGGGUCUAUACUGACGCUGAGGCACGAAAGCGUGGGGAGCAAACAGG